Molecule: ribosomal RNA, 1003 nt
Filed under: uncultured fungus
Lineage: Eukaryota; Fungi
Description: eukaryotic LSU rRNA
Rfam family: Eukaryotic large subunit ribosomal RNA (bases 347-1003)
Source: RNAcentral
AUCGAUGAAGAACGCAGCGAAAUGCGAUAAGUAAUGUGAAUUGCAGAAUUCAGUGAAUCAUCGAAUCUUUGAACGCACCUUGCGCUCUCUGGUAUUCCGGAGAGCACGCCUGUUCGAGUGUCAUGAAACUCUCAAGCAAGAAUUAAGCUUUAUUGCUUGAUUCUUGAUUGGAUUUGGACUCUUGCCGCGUUAUUGCGGCUGGUCUUAAAAGUAUUAGCUGGUCUGUAAGAAAUCUUUGGGUUUGACUUGGCGUAAUAAUCUUAUUCGCUGAGGACACUUCGGUGGCCUAAUUUCUUUACUGGACUGCUUCUAAUCGUCUCCUUUGUGAGACAACUUUCAUUCAAUCUGACCUCGAAUCAGGUGGGACUACCCGCUGAACUUAAGCAUAUCAAUAAGCGGAGGAAAAGAAACUAACAAGGAUUCCCCUAGUAACGGCGAGUGAAGCGGGAUGAGCUCAAAUUUAAAAUCUGGUGGUCUUUGGCCAUCCGAGUUGUAAUCUAGAGAAGUGUUUUCCGUGCUGGACCGUGUACAAGUUUCCUGGAACGGAACGUCAUAGAGGGUGAGAAUCCCGUCCUUGACACGGACUACCAGUGCUUUGUGAUACACUCUCAACGAGUCGAGUUGUUUGGGAUUGCAGCUCAAAAUGGGAGGUAAAUUCCUUCUAAAGCUAAAUAUUGGCGAGAGACCGAUAGCGAACAAGUACCGUGAGGGAAAGAUGAAAAGCACUUUGGAAAGAGAGUUAAACAGUACGUGAAAUUGUUAAAAGGGAAACGAUUGAAGUCAGUCGCGUCUGCUUGGACUCAGCCUUACCUCGGUUUGGUGUAUUUCCUUGUAGACGGGCCAGCGUCAAUGUUAUUUACUGGAAAAGGGUUAAAGGAAUGUGGCUCUUUCGGGAGUGUUAUAGCCUUUGAUCGUAUACAGCGAGUGAUAUUGAGUGGUACAGCAUGCUUCGGCGGUGCUUGUGCUGGCAUAAUGGCUUUAAACGACCCGUCUUGAAACACGG